GACAGCAGCAGCCGCGGUAAAACGUAGGGGGCGAGCGUUGUCCGAAGUUACUGGGCGUAAAGAGCGCGUAGGCUGGUCUUUAAGUGAGUGGUGAAAGGUUCGGGCUCAACCCGGACACUGCCCUUCAUACUGGGGACCUUGAGUGUGGGAGAGGCGAGUGGAAUGGUCGGUGGAGCGGUGAAAUGCGUUGAGAUCGGAAAGAACACCAACAGCGAAAUCACUCUGCUAGGCCGACACUGACACUGAGAGACGAAAUCUAGGAGAGCAAAUGGGAUUAGAUACCCCCGUAGUCCCUGUCUCUUAUAC
RNAcentral lists this ribosomal RNA (306 nucleotides) under uncultured bacterium. Its description in RNAcentral is "partial 16S ribosomal RNA". It matches the Rfam family "Bacterial small subunit ribosomal RNA", at positions 507 to 807 of the family's 1533-position model. The record is from RNAcentral.